Rhopalosiphum padi (bird cherry-oat aphid) is the source of this 2904-nucleotide long non-coding RNA. RefSeq lists it as uncharacterized. Lineage: Eukaryota; Metazoa; Arthropoda; Insecta; Hemiptera; Aphididae. The transcript has 3 exons. The record is from RefSeq and is a predicted model, not a curated record.
GACAUCUCAAGAAAAACACAACGUUUCGGUUAUGCGCGCCAUGCGCACAAGCAGUGUUUACAAACUGUUUGAUUUGAUUGAAUUCAGACCGGCCAUCAUUAAUUUGUAAUUCAUUACGAUAAUUACACGCCGUGUUCUGGGCCCGCGCGUGUACCAACGUGUAUUUCGAAUUGAUUCGGCCGAAGUUACAGUUAUUCGCCAAGUGUAACACUACACUCGUGUUUCGAUGCACAACAACGCAGUCACUAAUUAUUUUCUACGUCACAUUUAAAAAUUGAGUAUUUACAUCAUUAUGGUCACGGUUAAGGAUAUUAUAUUAUACGGUAGGGGUUCCGCCUAUGCGUGGCUCUCGUCGUCGUGUUAUGCAUAGUUAAUAAUGUAAACCACUGGUGACAUUGCGUGUGAUUUCCAUUACCGUAAUAAUAUUUCCGUCCGAUAAGCGAAACGCACACCAACAUGACCGUAUACCUUUAUUGAAGAUGACAUGGGUUCUGCGGUGACCAAAAACUUGCAGGCGAAUCGUUUGUCCAACUUCCCAAUUCCACACAACAAACGUUGCAUAAUACGAUUAACUAUUGCUUCAACGUUUAAUGAUGAUGAACUAGUAGGAAAUGUUUUAUUCAAUCUGUCGGCGCGAAUCUGAUCCUUGUGAUAAAAUUACUAUACGUGCCUAUAAUACUAUCCGUCGACAAGAGAGAUAGAAAAUGAAUAUAGAUUGCAAAUAAAUAAGACGACUAUGGUCUUAAGCUUAUUUAUUUUAUUGAUGUUAAAUUAAUUACCAUACACGUAUUAAUAAACAUUUUUAUCGAUUUAAAUACAGUCGGUUUAUAUGACGAGAAAAAAAAAUAGCAAGAAACAAACAACAAAUUGUUGUUAAUAAAGGGGUUGAGUUAUUACGCAUAUGAAUGUAUAGUGUUUGUAUUCUAAUUUAUUAUUUAUCAUACUAUUUUUUCCUUAUUCCGUGACGUUGUUAAUAAAUAGUAGUUAUGUACCUAUACCUAACGACUAAUGAAGUUACCAGUUUAGCUUACCUAUUCAUAUAUAACAUAAUAUUUAUAUCAUCAAUUUGUAUUUUUAGUACAGUUUAAUAAUGCUCGUACAAUUGAAAAUAAGUGAUUUGCGUUAAAUGAAAGAGAUAAAAGAUAACAAGAGUUUGUGGAGUUGUCCCGAUCAGAUUCAAAUAAUUCCACCGAUAGUUCUGAGGAUAGAAAAUGACACACAAUAUUAUUAUGAAUAGCGUGUACAGGGCCUUGUAUGUUUGGCUGCAAAAUAAAAGGUCGUAUUUUAGAAUGUCUAUUAAAAAUAGCUAAAAACCUAACUUUUUUUUAAAUAUAUAAAACGUAAUAUUUUAAGGGAUGAUUUAUAACAUAAUUUUUUAUAAUUAAUUAUACAACAAUCUAUUGUAUAUUUAAAUAAACAUGUAAUAACUUAUUUUUUAAUUCUAUAUUGUAUUAAAUUUAAUUUAAUUUUAAAAAAAUUCGGUGAAUGGCAAAUAUUAACGACACGGUAGAUGACAUACUAAACCAAAAAUAUGACGGUAGAUAAAUCACAACUGAAUCUUAUUAUUUUUAGCGGUCUUUAAUAGUUCCUGUGCUAUUCGAUACUCUAUGUCGAUUUCAAACUAAGCAGCGUCAUCGCCUGCAACACCGUCUGAAUGUACGAUAAUAACCUACUCAUCGCUUACUGCAUAAGAAUGUUGUUUCGUUGUACUUAACUCUAACAUUUGGCGCCUAACUGGUUUCGGGUUUUCACAGUAAGCAUGUAUGUACUUAUUUCGAUUUCAGCAUAUCGUUUGAAAUUGAAACGUAUUUCAUAAUUUUAGAUACCCAUGAGGCAUAACUGUUCGGCACAGACGUGAUCUACUAAAUAUAAUCUUAAAAUUGAAAAAAAAAAGUAGUAACAACCGAUUGUACGAGACUACUUAUUUUAUACAAAUAGAACACCCAUUAGAAAUUCAAGUAAUUUAAAGCGACGAUCAAUAUGUGGUCAGUGAUAAUCAAAAAAUACACCUACCUAUUAAUAAUCAUGUAUGAAUUUACAUUUCCCAUAAACGUGUCACAAUAAAUUAUACGUUCACCUUUUGUAAGCAAUAUUAAUUGCUGUCAAUAAUAUAUUGUUAGGUUUUUUUUUCAUAUUUAUUUACGUGUAAUUAUGAAACACUAAUUUUCAACCGUGUUUUCAUAAUUAAUUUUUUACACUUUUUAACAUCAUAUUAUUAUUUGAAAGUUUUGUGACGGUCCACGCAUAAAAAUAAUGUCCGAGUACGACGGACGGUUCCUGCCGCACCUGAUGGCGAGGUGAUAAAAUUAUACCUACACGAUUAUACUAUGGAGCGAUAACAAACAAGUACCAUACAAAAAUAUGCUUUUGAUAUUAUACUGAGCUGAUAUACCUAUUCUCUAACGUGAUAAAACGCUAUGCAUAAAUCGCGACGCUUCGGUUUAAAACUACAACAACUCAAAUAAAUUGGAAAAAUUAUCAUUUACGCUAUGAAUUUUCUUAAAAAUGAAUAAUAUAUUAAUAUUAUUCGAUUUUGAUUAUGUAGUUACAAGUGCAAUAAGAAUUUAGGUUUUCUACGAGAAAAAAAUGUUAUUUACAAUAGUUAUAAAAAAGUUAGUUUUAUUUUUAAUAAUGAUAAAACCUAAUUCCUAAAUAUUUAAUAGAUUUUCGAGUUUUCGUAGUUUUGAACUGCAGAGGCGCUGCAUGCGAUAAACGAAAUCGACAAUCUCGUGUGUCCGGUCAUAUCGGUCGCGCGGUGCAUACUCAUCCCUUUCAGAAAGAUCGCAUUUAUAAUAUUAUAUCGUGAGGUGAUAUAACUACGCUCAUCAUUCGUUAAAUUCAGUCGUCCGAUGCGCAGGCGCGUUUGCCGCAGCGCAGGAUUUACCGCACGCACGUACCCGAGUU